This 252-nucleotide ribosomal RNA is filed under the name uncultured bacterium. RNAcentral's name for it is "partial 16S ribosomal RNA". It matches the Rfam family "Bacterial small subunit ribosomal RNA", at positions 524 to 776 of the family's 1533-position model. The record is from RNAcentral.
UACGUAGGGGGCAAGCGUUGUCCGGAAUUAUUGGGCGUAAAGCGCGCGCAGGCGGCCAAUUAAGUCUAGUGUUUAAGCCCGGGGCUCAACCCCGGUUCGCACCGGAAACUGGUUGGCUUGAGUGCAGGAGAGGGAAGCGGAAUUCCAUGUGUAGCGGUGAAAUGCGUAGAGAUAUGGAGGAACACCAGUGGCGAAGGCGGCUUCCUGGCCUGUAACUGACGCUGAGGCGCGAAAGCGUGGGGAGCAAACAGG